UUAGCCUCCAGCCUCUUGGGAAAGCUCCAGUUAGGAGCACAGGAGCACAGGACCUGGCACAAAAUGGGGAUAUUUUGGAAAAUGAAUGCCACUGAGAUGCCAAGGGCUGCACCUCCUUCCAGCACCCUUGUUUGUGGGUGUUUUCCCUACAUUUCCAUGACUGCUGCCUCUGUGCCCCCCUAAAGGAGCAGGGAGAGAGGAGCUGCCUCGUUACUGCAGAGAGGCUCUACCUGUGCUGCUAAUUAGUGGCAUGAGGAGCCAGCACUGUCCUCCCCAGUGGGAAGCAGCUAAUAAACUAAUUAGGAUAAUGGGUAACUGAGCAGAUAAAAGUCUUAAGCUAUUUGCCAACAGGUCAUGGAUGGAUGUGGAGCCUUUCCCCCAGUGAUGCACCCGCAUGACCCCAGUGGUCCCAGUCCUGCUGUUCCAGGGACAGGGAAGAGCCUGCAGAUGUCGUGUUUUCCAUGCCAGUGCCUCACCACCCUGGGCAGGCAGCUGCUGCUCAGCAAGGGGACCUCUGCCAGCCUGAGCCUGGUGACAAGGGUGACCCUGCUGGAGGGCACUCACGGUCAGUACCCCCUACACCAGGAGUUUUGUGACUUUUUGGGGUGCUGGGUCACAGGCUGCAUCACUCACACUCAUUCCUGGCAAUUUGCAGAUGAGCUGGGAAAGGAUGGUCCCAGCAGCACAGGGUGAGACUGGUGACAGAGCCCCUGGUGCCACCAAAAGAAAGGGCUGCAGGAGUGAGAUUUUACCAGAUCCAGAGCACAGGAUGCCAUCAGGAGCUGCUCCUCCAUGGGAAAUGACCAAAGGAUGCCAGCUCCAGGCUGCUCCUGUGCUGGGCACCCAGACCCUGCUGCUUCCCCUGCCUGCGGGGGAGCCUGGCACUCCCACGGCUCCAGCCCACCCAGAUCCAGGCCAUGGGGAGGAAAGUUGCUUUCUGCAUCCCAGGGGGAGGAUUUGAGGCCGAGUGGAUGUGACCUUGGGCUCUGGCAAGGAGCUGCCAUGAGUGCUGCACCCCUCACUCGGCCCUUGCCCUUCCCUCCACUCAACAGAAGCUGUUUUCAGAGCUGCUGCUCUCCCAAAGUGCUUCACAUCUCUCUGAUCUGGCUGGAGGAGGAGCUGAAGAGAAGAGCAGAGCAUCCACUUCCCUGGCCCAGGCUCUGGCAGGAGCCACCUCUCUCUGUGUCCCCUGUGCAGUGAGCUGGGAGCAGCUGUGCAUCCCCUCCCUGAGCAGCCACAGACUGCACAGGGUGAGCAGGGAGGUAGCCCUGUCUCCUCAAGUACCAGGUGAAAUCCCAAUUGAAAACUGCAGCUGGGCAGCUCCAGCUGCCUCUGCUCUCCUCCAGAAUGCCCAUGGCUGUGCCAGGGUUCUUUCCAGCUUUUCUUAAGAUGGGUGGGAGAGGAGCUGUGUCCCCCCUGGCGUGGGACAGGUUAGACCAUCUGUUCUGCUGCUGGUGGGGCAGAAGCUUGGCUCUUCUUUGCCAAGCACACAGGGUAAUUUAGUUAUUUACUAAAUUUAUAAUUUAGUAAAUAACUAAACACCACCAGUUUAGUUGUGACAGUAACAGCCCCUUCCUACAGGGGUGAGGAACUGCUGGGGGCCCAUCCCAGCAAAAGCCUGUGCCCAACACCUCUGGAGCCUGGUCCAAACCGCUCUGUCAGCAGGUCUGACCCAGCAAGCACAUUGUGCAAGUAAAAAUCUGAUUUUAAACCUUUCUGCCCUCAUCCUCACAGGGCUUUUAUCUGAGGGUGGGAGGAGGAAAGCUUCAUUACUGCUGCUGGGGUCACUUAUUAACCUGCUGGUUCCUAAUGAUGCACUUAUCUCCUCCUGCCAGCCCUGGCCUCCAUCAGGCACCGCUGCAGGGGCUCUCCUGCCCUACAUUGCUCUCUCUUCAUUAGCUUUUCAUUUUCCUUAAUUGCUCCUGCAGAUUUGCCUGGGGUGUCAGGCCUGGGGGAUGCCCAGGGGGAGAUGGGGAUGCAGGGGGAGCAGGCACAAAGCUGAGGAUGCCACGCUGCUGGCUCACUGAUGGGAAGAGCAGGAAGCACAGAUGCUCUUGC
This is a long non-coding RNA of Passer montanus (Eurasian tree sparrow), 2058 nucleotides long. RefSeq lists it as uncharacterized. The transcript has 3 exons. NCBI's taxonomy places the organism in Eukaryota, Metazoa, Chordata, Aves, Passeriformes, Passeridae. The record is from RefSeq and is a predicted model, not a curated record.